RNAcentral lists this ribosomal RNA (868 nucleotides) under uncultured bacterium. Its description in RNAcentral is "bacterial SSU rRNA". It matches the Rfam family "Bacterial small subunit ribosomal RNA", at positions 1 to 923 of the family's 1533-position model. The record is from RNAcentral.
UAGGGUUUGAUCCUGGCUCAGAACGUACGCUGGCGGCAUGCCUAACACAUGCAAGUCGAACGAAGUAGCAAUACUUAGUGGCAGACGGGUGAGUAACAUGUAGGUAUCUGCCCUUUGGCCUGGAAUAACACGAGGAAACUUGUGCUAAUACCGGAUAAGUCUUUACGGAGAAAGCUUUAUGCACCAUUGGAUGAGCCUGCACUUGAUUAGUUUGUUGGUGGGGUAAUGGCCUACCAAGACUGUGAUCAAUAGCUGAUUUGAGAGGAUGAUCAGCCACAUUGGGACUGAGACACGGCCCAAACUCCUACGGGAGGCAGCAGUGGGGAAUCUUGCACAAUGGAGGAAACUCUGAUGCAGCGAUGCCGCGUGAGUGAAGAAGGCCCUUGGGUUGUAAAGCUCUUUCGUCGGGGAAGAAAAUGACUGUACCCGAAUAAGAAGGUCCGGCUAACUUCGUGCCAGCAGCCGCGGUAAUACGAAGGGACCUAGCGUAGUUCGGAAUUACUGGGCUUAAAGAGUUCGUAGGUGGUUGAAAAAGUUAGUGGUGAAAUCCCAGAGCUUAACUCUGGAACUGCCAUUAAAACUUUUCAGCUAGAGUAUGAUAGAGGAAAGCAGAAUUUCUAGUGUAGAGGUGAAAUUCGUAGAUAUUAGAAAGAAUACCAAUUGCGAAGGCAGCUUUCUGGAUCAUUACUGACACUGAGGAACGAAAGCAUGGGUAGCGAAGAGGAUUAGAUACCCUCGUAGUCCAUGCCGUAANCGAUGUGUGUUAGACGUUGGAAAUUUAUUUUCAGUGUCGCNGNNAAACCGAUAAACNCACCGCCUGGGGAGUACGACCGCAAGGUUAAAACUCAAAUGAAUUGACGGGGACCCG